AGCGGUGGAGCAUGUGGUUUAAUUCGAAGCAACGCGAAGAACCUUACCAGGUCUUGACAUCCUCUGACAAUCCUAGAGAUAGGACGUCCCCUUCGGGGGCAGAGUGACAGGUGGUGCAUGGUCGUCGUCAGCUCGUGUCGUGAGAUGUUGGGUUAAGUCCCGCAACGAGCGCAACCCUUGAUCUUAGUUGCCAGCAUUCAGUUGGGCACUCUAAGGUGACUGCCGGUGACAAACCGGAGGAGGGUGGGGAUGACGUCAAAUCAUCAUGCCCCUUAUGACCUGGGCUACACACGUGCUACAAUGGACAGAACAAAGGGCAGCGAAACCGCGAGGUUAAGCCAAUCCCACAAAUCUGUUCUCAGUUCGGAUCGCAGUCUGCAACUCGACUGCGUGAAGCUGGAAUCGCUAGUAAUCGCGGACCAGCAUGCCGCGGUGAAUACGUUCCCGGGCCUUGUACACACCGCCCGUCACACCACGAGAGUUUGUAACACCCGAAGUCGGUGAGGUAACCUUUUAGGAGCCAGCCGCCGAAGGUGGGACAGAUGAUUGGGGUGAAGUCGUAACAAGGUAGCCGUAUCGGAAGGUGCGGCUGGAUCACCUC
Molecule: ribosomal RNA, 601 nt
Filed under: uncultured bacterium
Lineage: Bacteria
Description: bacterial SSU rRNA
Rfam family: Bacterial small subunit ribosomal RNA
Source: RNAcentral